GCCUCCUAAGCCACCUCUUCUAGAUCUUCUCCUUUGGCCUUUUACCCAACCUCCCACCAUGAACUUCAGGGUGUCUAUCCAGCAAGAGCUGCUGCCUCAUCAAUCCAUAAAUGUUCAUCAGGAAAUGCCCGUAAAUCCCAGUCCAGCCCACAAUGCCCCAUGUAAUAUCCAUUUUUUUCCUUUUCUCAUCCGAGCAGUAUUGCCUGACAUAGAUCUGCAGUGCAUGUAGCAAUGUAUGGAUUUAUGUGGAUUCACAGAAGAGCAUCAUACAUUAAUUCUGAGGAUCACCAGAAAGCUUGAACAAGACCUUCAAUAAAAAUUUAAAGCUGCACAGCUUACAGUUUCCUGAUUACUCAAGAAUAAAAUAUAGGAUGCAUAUAUCAUGCUGAGAACAAUGCUACACCUAAUUUGCUUCAGCAAAUGAGAUCAAUUAAAAAUAACUCAACAAAAAUGAUACUGAAUCUUCAAUUACUUCAAGAAGAUGAAGAGCCAGACAUACAGUAAUUGACUUGUUCAUCUUCUUGUCCUUUAAAAC
Molecule: long non-coding RNA, 535 nt
Organism: Mauremys reevesii (Reeves's turtle)
Lineage: Eukaryota; Metazoa; Chordata; Testudines; Geoemydidae
Exons: 3
Source: RefSeq, a predicted model, not a curated record